UACGUAGGCAGCAAGCGUUGUUCGGAAUCACUGGGCUUAAAGGGCGCGUAGGCGGAGGGUUUAGUCGGGGGUGAAAUCCUCCAGCUCAACUGGAGAAUGGCCUCCGAUACUGACUCUCUCGAGGGAGGUAGGGGCAUGUGGAACUCAGGGUGGAGCGGUGAAAUGCGUAGAUAUCCUGAGGAACGCCGGUGGCGAAAGCGACGUGCUGGACCUCUUCUGACGCUGAGGCGCGAAAGCCAGGGGAGCAAACGGG
Molecule: ribosomal RNA, 253 nt
Filed under: uncultured bacterium
Lineage: Bacteria
Description: partial 16S ribosomal RNA
Rfam family: Bacterial small subunit ribosomal RNA
Source: RNAcentral